This 460-nucleotide ribosomal RNA is filed under the name uncultured bacterium. Its description in RNAcentral is "partial 16S ribosomal RNA". It matches the Rfam family "Bacterial small subunit ribosomal RNA", at positions 338 to 795 of the family's 1533-position model. The record is from RNAcentral.
CCUACGGGUGGCAGCAGUGAGGAAUAUUGGUCAAUGGACGAGAGUCUGAACCAGCCAAGUAGCGUGAAGGAGGACUGCCCUAUGGGUUGUAAACUUCUUGUAUAGGGGAAUAAAAUGUGGCACGGGUGGGAUGUUGUAUGUACCAUAUGAAUAAGGAUCGGCUAACUCCGUGCCAGCAGCCGCGGUAAUACGGAGGAUCCGAGCGUUAGCCGGAUUUAUGGGGUUUAAAGGGCGCGUCGGGGGAUUGUUAAGUCCGUGGUGAAAGGUGGGGGCUACACCGUAAAAGUGCCGUUGAAACGGGCAGUCUUGAGUACACUAGCGGUGGGCGGAAUUCGUGGUGUAGCGGUGCAAUGCUUAGAUAUCACGCAGAACUCCGAUUGCGAAGGCAGUUCACUGGACUGCAACUGCCACUGAGGCUCGAAAGUGUGUGUAUCAAACAGGAUUAGCUACCCCCGUAGUC